This 603-nucleotide long non-coding RNA is filed under the name Gossypium barbadense (sea-island cotton). RNAcentral describes it as "long non-coding RNA (GBAR_LNC023015)". Lineage: Eukaryota; Viridiplantae; Streptophyta; Magnoliopsida; Malvales; Malvaceae. The record is from RNAcentral.
GGAGAUGAAGUCAUUCUGGAAAUACUAUUCGGGUCAGGAGGUUGCCCCAGUUCCCACGAUUUUUAUCGGUGGAAAUAAUGAAGCUUCCAAUUAUUUAUGGGAAUUGUAAGUCACCCCCUUUUCUUCAUAUGUUCUAGCUCGGGGACUCUGAUUCUUUUAUGAAAAGGCCUUGAAUUUUACCUUCUGCUAAACUUUAGGUAUUAUGGGGGAUGGGCAGCACCUAAUAUAUACUUCUUGGGGUAUGCUGUGGUUGUGAAGUUUGGCAAUAUCCGUAUCGAUGGACUUUCCGGAAUUUACAAUGCGCGUAAUUAUUGUUUAGGUUGGGUAUGAAGUUCUUUUCUUGUCUAUUCUAUGUUUAUUCUGGAGUUCUUUUAAUGGUGAUUGUAUAUUUACUGCAAGCGAGUGUCAGAUAUGUUAUAUUGAUUCUUAUUUAGGGUGGAGAGUCGAAGCUUUGAAACUGAAAUGAAUUAGCUUUUCCUUGAGCAGGACACCAUGAAAUGCCACCUUAUAAUGACAAUACUAUCAGGUCUGUGUAUCAUGUUCGGGAGUACGAUGUUCACAAGCUCAUGCUCCUAGAGAAACUGAUUGAUAUUUUCCUUUCAC